This is a long non-coding RNA of Homo sapiens (human), 1328 nucleotides long. Ensembl annotates it as LRRC52 antisense RNA 1. Its record names the gene LRRC52-AS1. The record is from Ensembl. Lineage: Eukaryota; Metazoa; Chordata; Mammalia; Primates; Hominidae.
GGCACAGUGAGAGGGAGGUUUUCCAGGCUUCCUGUGCUGUCUUGGGGACCUGCUCAGAGGCUGGACCGCGUCAUGCUCAGAAGGCUGCCUGGAAUUUGAAUGUGGUAUCUGGAGCUUCAGUAGUCAUCCAGGACUGUAAGUGUGAAAGCCAUGCACUGAGAGUGGUGGAACAGAAGCCCUGUUUUCUUUAGACGCUGACUCCUGCUGUCUACCAGAUCCUCGUGGUACAAUGACUGGUGUAGACUGGCUUGUUGAAGUCACUCUCUGGAUCUGAGCAACGCUGGCUGAGCCGUGAUGAAGUAUUCCUAUCCAUCCACUAUGCUUCACAGUGGGAAUCUCUCACUGUUCAUCACCGCUGCCCUAGCAGCCGCAGCUGGAAUGAGAGACUGGAUGGCGUUGAAAUGAAAUGCUGGAGCCAUCCAUCCAUGUGCUUCCAGGGUGGCUUCCUGGCUGUGAGAACACAGUGACCCUGUGAGGCCAACAUGGACUCGGUUCUCCUGACAUAACAUGGCUGGAGGAGCUCCAGCUCUGGGAUGUUAUCUUGCUGUUUUACACUGGUGGUUCAGCCAGCCCAUGGGAAACUGAACUUGGGCUGGGAGACCUGGCAGCAAAUCCAAACUGAAAUAAGAAUCAGCACUUCGAGUUCAACUGUGAAACAAAUGUGGGCCCAAGGCCUAAAUGCCCGAAAGACAUAGGGAAGGGUUGAAGUGGAAUAAAGAAAGCUUUUGGUGACACUAUGGGAAGGGCUAUUGAGUAUCUUCUCAGGACAGUACAAAAUGUCAGAGGCACAGCAUAUUUCGAAACCUAUUUUUAAAGCUGCUUUAGAUUUUUUAACUUGAUGGAUAGAUAUAUUCAUUUUUUAAAAAAAGAAAUGGUGACCCUCUUAAGAGGCAAAGUACGAGCCUCAAGUGUUGUGGGAUGUAUCCAUCAUUGGUUACUAAGUUUUCCAAUGGCUCAGACACUCCCAGAAGCGAAGACUCCUGAGCCAAAGGAAGAUGAGAGCUGAAAGGAGCAUCGAGCUCAUCCAGUGCAAUGCUUCUCAGCUUGUGCCCACUUUGGAUUCACUUGGAAAUAUUUUAGAAAUACUGAUGCCUGGGCCCCAUUCCAGACCAGUUAAAUCAUACUAUCUGGGAGAGAUACCCAGAAAGUGGUAUGUUUUAACACCUCCUUAGGGAUUCUGCUGAUCAACCAAGGUUGAGAAGAAUCAAACUAGACUCAUUUUACAUAUGAAGAAAUGGAAACCCAGAUAUUGAGAUAAAAAAUGUUGCCCAAGUCACGUAGCUAGUGUCAAAACCUGACUCUUAAUAAAUGCCCUUAUGUCACACUAA